Molecule: ribosomal RNA, 1470 nt
Filed under: Pseudomonas fluorescens
Lineage: Bacteria; Pseudomonadati; Pseudomonadota; Gammaproteobacteria; Pseudomonadales; Pseudomonadaceae
Description: partial 23S ribosomal RNA
Rfam family: Bacterial large subunit ribosomal RNA
Source: RNAcentral
GGUCAAGUGAAGAAGCGCAUACGGUGGAUGCCUUGGCAGUCAGAGGCGAUGAAAGACGUGGUAGCCUGCGAAAAGCUUCGGGGAGUCGGCAAACAGACUUUGAUCCGGAGAUGUCUGAAUGGGGGAACCCAGCCAUCAUAAGAUGGUUACCUUACACUGAAUACAUAGGUGUAUGGAGCGAACCAGGGGAACUGAAACAUCUAAGUACCCUGAGGAAAAGAAAUCAACCGAGAUUCCCUUAGUAGUGGCGAGCGAACGGGGACUAGCCCUUAAGUGGCUUUGAGAUUAGCGGAACGCUCUGGAAAGUGCGGCCAUAGUGGGUGAUAGCCCUGUACGCGAAAAUCUCUUAGUCAUGAAAUCGAGUAGGACGGAGCACGAGAAACUUUGUCUGAAUAUGGGGGGACCAUCCUCCAAGGCUAAAUACUACUGACUGACCGAUAGUGAACUAGUACCGUGAGGGAAAGGCGAAAAGAACCCCGGAGAGGGGAGUGAAAUAGAUCCUGAAACCGUAUGCGUACAAGCAGUGGGAGCCCACUUUGUUGGGUGACUGCGUACCUUUUGUAUAAUGGGUCAGCGACUUAUUUUCAGUGGCGAGCUUAACCGAAUAGGGGAGGCGUAGCGAAAGCGAGUCUUAAUAGGGCGUCUAGUCGCUGGGAAUAGACCCGAAACCGGGCGAUCUAUCCAUGGGCAGGUUGAAGGUUGGGUAACACUAACUGGAGGACCGAACCGACUACCGUUGAAAAGUUAGCGGAUGACCUGUGGAUCGGAGUGAAAGGCUAAUCAAGCUCGGAGAUAGCUGGUUCUCCUCGAAAGCUAUUUAGGUAGCGCCUCAUGUAUCACUGUAGGGGGUAGAGCACUGUUUCGGCUAGGGGGUCAUCCCGACUUACCAAACCGAUGCAAACUCCGAAUACCUACAAGUGCCGAGCAUGGGAGACACACGGCGGGUGCUAACGUCCGUCGUGAAAAGGGAAACAACCCAGACCGUCAGCUAAGGUCCCAAAGUUAUGGUUAAGUGGGAAACGAUGUGGGAAGGCUUAGACAGCUAGGAGGUUGGCUUAGAAGCAGCCACCCUUUAAAGAAAGCGUAAUAGCUCACUAGUCGAGUCGGCCUGCGCGGAAGAUGUAACGGGGCUCAAACCAUACACCGAAGCUACGGGUAUCACGUAAGUGAUGCGGUAGAGGAGCGUUCUGUAAGCCUGUGAAGGUGAGUUGAGAAGCUUGCUGGAGGUAUCAGAAGUGCGAAUGCUGACAUGAGUAACGACAAUGGGUGUGAAAAACACCCACGCCGAAAGACCAAGGUUUCCUGCGCAACGUUAAUCGACGCAGGGUUAGUCGGUCCCUAAGGCGAGGCUGAAAAGCGUAGUCGAUGGAAAACAGGUUAAUAUUCCUGUACUUCUGGUUAUUGCGAUGGAGGGACGGAGAAGGCUAGGCCAGCUUGGCGUUGGUUGUCCAAGUUUAAGGUGGUAGGCUG